Molecule: ribosomal RNA, 675 nt
Filed under: uncultured earthworm cast bacterium
Lineage: Bacteria
Description: bacterial SSU rRNA
Rfam family: Bacterial small subunit ribosomal RNA
Source: RNAcentral
CAGAACAGCUGGCGGCGUGCUUACACAUGCAAGUNCGAGCGGAAAGGCUCCUUUCGGGGGGUACUCGAGCGGCGAACGGGUGAGUAACACGUGAGUAAUCUGCCCUCUACUCUGGGAUAACUGCUUGAAAGGGUGGCUAAUACCGGAUGUUCACUGUCUCCUGCAUGGGGGGUGGUGGAAAGCUUUUGUGGUGGGGGAUGUGCUCGCGGCCUAUCAGCUUGUUGGUGGGGUAAUGGCCUACCAAGGCUUUGACGGGUAGCCGGCCUGAGAGGGUGACCGGCCACACUGGGACUGAGACACGGCCCAGACUCCUACGGGAGGCAGCAGUGGGGAAUAUUGGACAAUGGGCGGAAGCCUGAUCCAGCAACGCCGCGUGAGGGAUGACGGCCUUCGGGUUGUAAACCUCUUUCAGCACAGACGAAGCUUGUUCCACGUGUGGGGUGGGUGACGGUAUGUGCAGAAGAAGCACCGGCCAACUACGUGCCAGCAGCCGCGGUAAUACGUAGGGUGCGAGCGUUGUCCGGAAUUAUUGGGCGUAAAGGGCUCGUAGGCGGUUUGUCGCGUCGGGAGUGAAAUCCACUGGCUUAACUGGUGGCUUGCUUUCGAUACGGGCAGACUGGAGGUAUGCAGGGGAGAACGGAAUUCCUGGUGUAGCGGUGAAAUGCGCAGAUAUCA